CCGGGAGAUGAGGCCGCUCGUUCCAAAGAGUGUGAAACAGAAAAUAGGUCAUUCCAGAGAUCGAGACUCUGGACGUCCCCUCUCCAGGGUCCGAAUCGACACUACGUCCUUUGCCGAGUGACUCAAAAGCCCCUCAAGCCAAGCAGCCGUCAUAGGAGGGUGACUAAUUGGAGGCUAGUCUGACUCCUCCCCCUUUCCCAGAACUGUGGUAGGGAUAACCUUUUGGCUGGGGACGCGCGUUACUUUACUGCUCCUGGGAAAAUGGGGGAGGGGAGGAGUGCUAAAGGAGAACAGCGGGGUGUGCAGGUGAGAAGAGGGAGAAAGAGACAGAGACAAAGAGAGAGCGCGCGCGCGCGCGCUUCAACACCUGAUAUUAACAGGCCAGCCCGUGGCGGAAUCCCUGCAGAGAGGCUGGGCAAUCUGGGGCCAGAUGUUUCGGAAGUGCGAGGUCUUUAAUUACAAGUCAUCUUGAAAGAGAAACCCCGUGGGCCCUUUGAUCCAAGCGAAGCUUCAGCCCUGGCCGCGCUUUGGAACAUCUGCUACUCCGUGAGGCCCCCCAGCCUUCCGCCCGAGCCUCCGAGAAAAGGCCGGGGAGGGGGCGGAGCCCGGGGCGGGUCGCUGCCUAGGCUGCGAGCUCCUCUCACGCGAUCACCGUGUAAAUUUCUGGGGGAAACUAGUGUCGUGACGACGUGCGAUGAGAUCAGUUUUAAUAACUUCGGAGCUAGGGCUUGUGAAGUGGAGCGAGUCACGCAGCAGCCGGCGCGGAAGGAACAGCUGGAAGGAGGCUGCUGUGCCUCAUGUGGAAGGCUGCCAGCUUGCAGAAACUCCUUGCACCAAUGCAGAUUGUUACCUCUUCAACUUAGAAUCUUGAAGGACUGCCUGGAACACUGAGAAGUGAAGUUAUUUGCCCAAGAUCAUACGGAUUAGGUGUGUCAGAGAGGAGACUUGAACUCAUACUUCUAAGGCUCAAAAAUGUUUCAUUUGUAAUAAAUAAGGCUGUGAUGUGGUUACUGUUUGUGUG
This 1021-nucleotide long non-coding RNA is filed under the name Monodelphis domestica (gray short-tailed opossum). Its description in RNAcentral is "lncRNA (ENSMODG00000050405.1)". Lineage: Eukaryota; Metazoa; Chordata; Mammalia; Didelphimorphia; Didelphidae. The record is from RNAcentral.